This 13742-nucleotide long non-coding RNA is filed under the name Eucalyptus grandis. RNAcentral's name for it is "long non-coding RNA (EGRA_LNC005399)". The record is from RNAcentral. Lineage: Eukaryota; Viridiplantae; Streptophyta; Magnoliopsida; Myrtales; Myrtaceae.
GGAACCAGCAUCGAGCCAGAGUAGCACGAUCUGAGAUGAUGCUCGUUGAGCAACGAAAUCUUGACUUAGCUUUUAGUGCUUUUGCAGUUUUAGAGAUCAAGACUUUUUCAUCACUUACGAAGAUGAUAAGCCUUUUGGUUGCUUUUUUAGGAUAUCUUGCAUUGGUCUGUAGGUUUUUUAGGAGCUUGCAUUGGUCUGCGGUCAGCUAAUUAUCUUUCUCAAUCCUAGUGCCAAUGUUCUUCAUAGGCGAAGUUAUCAAAUCAGAAUUUGAAUUUGCAGAGUUUACUUGAUCGCCCUUCGGUCUUGUCUGGGUCGCCAUGCCAUCAUGUCGAUGGUUAUCUGCUCGUAAUUUGAUGCAUGAACUUUGCGAUGUUCGUCGGAUUCCCCAAAAUAUCUUAAUACAAUGCCAGGCCUCCAUUUACACCUUGGCAUCAGCACAUGACUACAUAUGCACAAACGCGCCAACGACGAAAUCACGUAAAAUCCUUAGAAAGGAAACAACAUACGGAUAACGCAUGAUUAAACCUAGUAAUCAAACGAUGAUGUUGCAUUGUAUUUUAAUAAUUGGUGCACGAAGGAAUGAGCUGUUGAGCCACACUGUGUAUAGGUAGGAGUGAUUCGGGAGUGUUGGUCGGCAUGUGAUGAUCUAAUUAUGACAACUGAUGACGCCUCAUGACAAAUGAUUGCAUAUCAUAACAAGUGAUGACUGUUAUGAAAUAUAAUAAUCAAACCAUCUUAAAGAGCAAAUAGGUGUUAGUCUUUGGAUGAUGUCUCCACUGCUUCCAAUGCUAGGACAAGUUCAAAGUGAAGGUUUUAUCAAUAAGUUAAAUCGUUGGGGACAAAUGACUCAAGAUGGUAUAUGAUGAUCAUUGUGUUUCUUCUUUCCUCUAAGUUGGACAAAAGCUGUCAUUCUAAGUACGCUUCGACCAUAAAUGUGAGGGUUGGCAUCAUGAUAUUACUCGGUGCAUGCAAACUCGAUACAUGUGAGUAAAAGAUUCCGAUAAGUCCACAACAAAUAUAUAAGAGAACCUCGUGAAUGGAUGGGAAUGACUCAGAUGAGGGUGGUGAACAUCAAACUCAAAAUCUCUUGCUCUAGAUCCUUAAGUCCUGAGCUUGAAGGUGUGAAUUAUCAUCCUCGUUAUGAAAACAUUCUGUAUUAUAAAGAUUGUUAGGGAAAAUUACUCAAUUAACCACGUAAACCUAUCGCGUGAAUGUCAAUUCGGUUAUAAAUUUUUUAAUUUUUAUCAAUUUAAUCCUAAAAAUUUAGGCAGAAUUCCAAAAUAGUUUGCUUGAAAUUGCUGAUGUAGUGAUCGAGUCAUCUCAAGUCUUUUUAUGUGGCAUGUUGUCACAUCAACGAUUUCUUACGGGAAUUGACUAGAAAUAUUACAUUAUAAUUUUGUAUAAACUUUCAGAAUUAAAUUGGAUUUUUUUAUAAAAAAAAAUUAUGACUGAAUUAAUAAUUAUAAAAUACAUUUAACAAUGAUUGGACAAUUUUUCCGACGUGGUAGAAAGGUAUGAGUAUUCAUAUUAGAACAAGCAGAGUGUAGUGGGGAUGAGCUGGUUGCUCUUUGAACAGCCUCCUUCUCGUUGAAACCUUACUCGCGGUUUUUCGGAGCGUGCAAACCACCCUCCUCACUCAGCCCCCUCAACUCUUCCUAAUUUCCCCUCUAUUACUGUUGAAUCUUUUAAGAUAAAUUAUAUGAAUAGUGUCAGAAAUAUGCGAUAUCCUUCCUAAAUCUUUAAUUUAUUUGGUAUGAUCACUAAAUAAUUUUUUAAUUUGUAAUGUCGUGAUUCUUAAAUUUUGUGUGAUUUGCUAAAAAACGUUAACUCUCCUCUAUCUUUUUUUUUUUACUUGGUAUUAUUAUUAUUUCAAAUUAUAGAUAUUCCUAUUAAUCCUGAGGGUAUGCACUGCAUUUGUCAUAAUAUGGAACCUAUACAUCAAAAUUCUAAUAUUAUAAAAUUUUCUAUGAUAUGAGUCAAAAGAAGAAAAGAAAUUUGGUGGAUAACAAGUAGUUUGCUACUCUGAAAUCAAAAGGGCCAUGCGUGUACAAUAACGUACCCGUCACCAAUUUUAUUUUCAUUUUCCCUAGUUUGUAUUGGAUAUUAAAUGAAAGUUCAUAUAUCGAUUAUGUUAUCAUCCCUUUACAUUACGCUGUUGUACGUUGGUUAGGAAUGACCAUUCCGUGAAACCCCUAAUUCAUUAGAAUUACUAUCAUUCUUUAAUAAGAACGAAAUCCAAUGAUAUCUAACAUUAAUGAAAGGUCUCUAUGAUAUGAGUAAAAAAAAUGGGCCCCGACUUUUCGUGAGAUUGGGCCGUGGCUGCCCGCAUCUGGUAAAGGGGCCUGAGGCCCAAUUGACGGGCUCAUUCUCAGUUAAUGGGCUUUUGGCGGGGGAGCGCGCCCAGUUCGUUGGAAAUGCAAAGAGAUCGGGGGAGGAGGUAACGGUCUCGUUCCCGCUCAAUGGCGAACGGAUUUGAACGCCUUUACCAGAAUCAAGAACGCCAGAGCCUAUAUAUCUACUCCACUCAUACUCCCCAUCAUCUCAUCCUUCAUCCUUCAUCCUCUUCAAUUUCAAAUCAAGUUCUCUUUUUGCUUUUUACCCUUCUCUGCUCUCUUGGCAAACUUGCUGGCUCCAUUUCCCAUGGACGCUCCCAAGGUGGGGGAUGACGGAGGAGGCGGUGGCGGUCCCGCUGCCUGUGCGCACCAGGUUUUGAUUUACAUGCUGCUUCUAGAGUUCUGAUCUCUCUUUUGGUUGGUUUUUUUUCUCGUUGUUUAGUCGGUUCGGGUGUGAUCUUUCUUGGGCUUCGCAUUCCUCUUCCUCUGCCAUUGACUGGAGUGCGAAAUUCUCGACGCUUUCUUGAAUGGCUUUUGGCGUCUGCAGAUAUUGUCCACCGCCUUUGGUUACUUCAGCAAUCUUAAUCCUCUUGAUGCCAUUAAGUCUUGCUUACAGGCCGGCGAUCCUGGCCCGCUGUGGGGUUUGGCAUCGGCAGAAGAAACUAUGGAAGAGCAUCCUUCCAGUCGACAAAAUGCGGUUCGGAGAUUUGAUGUCCCUCCUGAUAUAUUCCACGAUUGGCAUCUGGGUAGAUUUUUUGAUGAGCAGGUAUCUGCGGUUUGUUGUAGUAUAAUUGAACUGACAGGAUUGAUGUUCUUGAUUGACUAUUUCAUAUUUCAUUCUUGAUCGGUAUUCUUGACAGUAUCGAAAUCCAGAAUAUAGAAUAAAAAAAACUCUGUCUCUGAUGAUUAUAACUCAGUUUUAAUCAACCAUCAUCGGAGAAUUCAUGUGCUUGGAUAAUCUAUAUUAUCAAUUCAGGAAGCACAUCCUCACUGCCAUGAUACUUGCCGGCAUCUCAACUUCGAUUAUGUAAUUCCCUGCCACUGCUCCACUCCUGGGAGCGACGAGUCCUGCACAUGCCACAAUCAUGCUGGGUAUGGUUCGGGAGGGCCUCCUCCUAGCGUCCAGAACUCGGGCCAUUCCCUUUUGAGGAACGGCGGACUGCAAGAAUCCAGUAGCCGGCAACAAUUCAGGGGUCAGUCUAGUGGUUACGAUUUAAAGACUAAAUGCCCAACCUGUCUCUAUAACUCGCCGCACGUCCUGUUUUCUUCAUAGCCCUUACAUAUCAAUUUCCAUGGAUUCAGAUGCAAGCGAGAUGUCAUCCCAGUGCCUAAUUGAUAAGGAGAAGCUGAUUCAGAUGCUGGAGGACUUGGAAAGUAGCUUUGUUUCCAGCAAUCCAACCUGGGGAUUCUCCGAUCCUGUUGCCGGUGGUCAAAAUGGAGAUGGAGCGACUAACACUUCGAAAAAUUGGAGCAGCGAAACCGCUUCCAAAGUACAAGAUCAAAAGAAGGCUGCAGAACCAAGCUCAGGCACUCCUGGAAGGCAGGAGAGGCGAGUACCCAAAAGACAUUUGUUUGUACACUAUAUCAGCACACUUACUAGUGGCUGAACUAGUUUUAUUUUUGGCUUGAUUUAGGAAGAAAGCAGAAAAUGCCACAGAGAAAGGAAGCACGAAAAGAUGCAGUUGCAGGAGAUCCAAAUGCUUGCAACUGUAAGCAGUAGUGCGGUUCACAGGGUUCUCAUACUUCUUGUUCUGUCCAGUUUUCACGCAUCGAAAGUUUUGAUUUGGGAGUGCCAAGCGAUGCUAGUUUCUGUGUUAUGCAGUUCCCGUAUAUCGGGGCAGCCUGUCUACUUAGAUAUGGAUAGCUAAUCCACUGUUUUUUGUUUAUGUCCUUGAUCGGAACAGCAAGCAGGUUCCAAUAGAUUACCGUGCUUGACUGAAAGUUCUCCUAUUGUUUUUCCUGGCCGGAAGAUAGAAGAGGCAUUGUAUUGUUUGAAAUAAUGCUGAAACUUUCGUGUCGGCAGAUAUUGCGAAUGCUUUGCAGCGGAACUUUUCUGUACCGACAGUUGUACAUGUGGAUUCUGCUACAACAACCGUGACAUGGAAGACUCAGUUUACAAGGCAAAGGAGCUGAUUAAAUUGCAUAAUCCUCUUGCAUUCGGUCCAAAGGUAGUUCGGCAUCCCACCAAUUCCCCUCCGGAUAAAGCGGUAACCGUCCUUCCAUCCGAGAAGUCUUAUCUCAUUCUUAGUUAAUGAGUAUGAAGGGAAAUCUGAAUUUGAGUGGCAAUGCAACAGGAAUGUGGUGGUCGUGUUGGUGGUAGGAGUGAGGACACCCCAUCAUUCGUGAGGCACAAACGCGGAUGUAAUUGCAAGAAGUCUCAGUGCCUGAAAAAUUACUGCGAGUGCUAUCAGGUUUGCAGCUAAUACAAUCUAUCAAAACAAAGAUUCGAUAGCUAAUUCGUACAAUGUAACACUUGGAUUUAGCUGUUUUAGAUGAUUUGGUAUCAUAGUCCGAACAAACUGUUACACUAGUCAGUAUACCANNNNNNNNNNNNNNNNNNNNNNNNNNNNNNNNNNNNNNNNNNNNNNNNNNNNNNNNNNNNNNNNNNNNNNNNNNNNNNNNNNNNNNNNNNNNNNNNNNNNNNNNNNNNNNNNNNNNNNNNNNNNNNNNNNNNNNNNNNNNNNNNNNNNNNNNNNNNNNNNNNNNNNNNNNNNNNNNNNNNNNNNNNNNNNNNNNNNNNNNNNNNNUUUGGCCCGAAAUCAGGUGAGCGGCACACUUGUGCUAUUAUUUGAUAGAUCUUCGUAUAGAUUGUUAACAUUCUCGCCAUGAACACAAACCAGAAGCAAUAUUUCGCUCCUCUGAUGCAAAUCAAGCAUCCUUUGAUCAAGCACAUUCUGAUUUUCUUCCCAUUACAACGCUGUGCUUUCGCAUCAUAAGAUCAUUACCAAUUGGCACAUCUAUGCUUCUGUGAAAUGAAAUAAAUAAAAGCAUCAAGAGAUUGCAUUCUUCUAGAUAUAUUCUGCUUGAAUUCUGUUUCGAUUCUAUCACAUUAAGAAUGUCUAAUUCUUAUCCAUGCGUGUUAUACUCCCUGGGACAUGAACUCCAAAGCAGCAGAGCAAGGGAUUGACAGGAAGGAAAUGUCGCCUAAAGGAACGCCGGAUGGUAUACAGGGCAUGCCCAACUCCAUCCGAACUGGGAUCGGAGGUGGGUCUGCUUCGACUUUGGAAGGAACAGUCAAUAUGCUCAACAAUACUCCAUCUCCGGGUCCUUCGGCAUCUUCCAGGAGAUACAAUAGCAUGAGUACUUCUUCGCUGUCCAACCCGACGAAUGCUAGCUCGCCCGAUCAGAGACAAGCAUCAACUCUGCAGUUUCGGUCUCCUGGACGGAGUCCAAGCAUCUCCCCAAGGUCAAGACGUGCCCCCAAACCUGAAUCGCCGGCUUGUCCUCCCCCAGAUGACAAGCCCGAAGGCGGUUCAAGUCAAGCUUAGAUCUGUUACCGAGGGAACCAGCAUCGAGCCAGAGUAGCAGGAUCUGACAUGAUGAUGCUCGUUGAGCAACGAAAUCUUGACUUAGCUUUUAGUGCUUUUGCAGUUCUAGAGAUCAAGACUUUUUUCAUCACUUACGAAGAUGAUAAGCCUUUCGGUUGCUUUUUUAGGAUAUCUUGCAGUGGUCUGUAGGUUUUUUGGGACCUUGCAUUGGUCUGCGAUCAACUAAUGAUCUUGCUCAAUCCUAGUGCCACUGUUUUUCAUAGGCGAAGCUAUGAAAAUCAGAAUUUGAAAUUUGCAAAGUUUACUUGAUUGUCUUUCAGUCUUCUUUGGAUCCUCAUGCUACCGUCUCGCUAGUAAUUUGCUCGUUAAAUGAUACAUGAACUUCCUGCUGUUCGUCGGAUUCCCUGAAAUACCUUGAUGUAAUCCUGGGCACGGCUGCAUUCACACCUUGACAUCAGGACAUGACUACAUAUGCGUAAGCCCGACGAGGAUGAUGAAAUCUACGUACGAGUGCUGUGCAAACUCCACGCGAGAAGGAGUAUUUUGAUCCAAAGGAGUACCUUUACAAAGUAGAAUCCUUGGAAGGCGAACAACAUGCAUAUGAGGCAGAAUUAUAACCUAGUAAUUUAACUAUGUUGCAUUCUAAUUUAAUAAUCGGUGCACAAAUGACUGAGCCAUUGAGCCACUAUUUCUAGGCAGAAGCGAUUCGGAAGUAUUGGUUGACAUGUGGCGAUCUAAUUAUGAGAAGUGGUGAUGCAUCAUGACAAGUGAUUGCAUGUCAUGGUAAGUGAUGACUAUCCUGAAAUAUAGUGGUCGAAGAGCAAACAGGUGUUGAGCUUUUGGGAAAACAGCUUUACUGACACUUCCAAAGAUAGGACAAGUCCAAAGUGGAGGUUUCACAAAUAAGUUAAUCACUGGGGACAAAUGACUCAAAAUGCUAUAUAAUUUUAAUUGCACUUCUUUCCUCCAAGUUGGACAAAAACUUUCAUUCUUAUAAUGCUUCGACCAUAAAUUCAAGGGUCAGGGUCACGAUGUCGCUCGACGCAUGCAAACUCGAUUUAUGUGAGUGAAAGACUCUUAUAAGCCCACAACGAAUAAAUAAGAGAGCCUCGUGAAUGGGUGGGAAUGACUCAUAUGAGUGGGGUCAACAUCAAACUUGAAAUUUCUUACUCCAAAUCGUUAAGCUCGGGAGCUGAAGGUGAGGAUUAUAUCAUAACUUAUUAUCAUCCUUGUUACCAAAAUAUUCUGCAUUAUAAGAGGACAAGUACUCAAUCGAUGCUAAAUUUAUUAUACCAUAUGAAUGCUAAUUGUAAUAAACAUUUAAAUUAUUUCCAAUUUAGUCCCGAACCUUUAAGAGGAAUUCCAAAAUAGUCAUUCCUUUUCAAUUUUCACCCGAGAAUGCUAAUGUGGUGAUUCAAUCAUUCCAAGUCUUCCUACGUGGCACAUUGACACGUUGGCAACGUCUAACAAGAAUUGAUUGAAAAGUAUACAUUAAAAUUUGUGCAAAUUUUUAGAACUAAAUUGAUGAAAUUAUAUGAAAUUAAAAAAAGUUUAGGACUGUAUUGUAUUAAUAUUAAUUCAAUCAUAAAUUUUUUAAUUUUUGUUAAAUUAGUCAUAAACCUUUCAACGGAAUUCCAAAAGAAUUAUUCGUUUGAAAUUGCUAACAUAACGAUUUAGUCAUCCCAAGUCUUGCUACAUGACACAUCAACACACUAGCGAUGUUCAACAAAAAUUGACCACACAUUGAGUAAUUCUAAGAGACACAGGUUUGUGCUGUUAAAGGUGGCUUUAAGAGAAUGCACUAAUUUGAUGAUUCAAACCCAAAUGUCAAAUAACAACGACGAGUACACUUACCACUUGAGAUUUGCAUACUUGAUUGAGGGUGUUAGGCGAUUUCUAGCUUAUGAACCCUAUUUAUAUCUCACCCCUUACAGAGAUCGAAAAGCUUCGACUUAAUUGGUAUGCGGAGGUUUAAAGGUAGUUGAUAAGUUUCUAGUUGCGUCUUCAGUGUGUAUCAAAUUAUCUGUCAAGUUACGAACUUUGCCCGGAGUUGGGUUCAUUUCACAUGAUUUGCUGAGCCAUUUGGACCUUGACUUUGGAAAACAUUCAAUGUAGUGGCUUGACCAUCGUUAUAAUCAUUGGACCCCCUUUGAUUAUAGAUAAAAAGCCGUGACGAACUGAAUAUGAAAUUUUGAUACGGAGUGACGCAACACACGACCUCAGCUAGUUAAUGACGUGACGUGGACACAAAGAUCAUCGGAUCAGUCGAAUAUUGGAUCUGAAUCUCCUUCCACGGGUAUAUUGAUUUAUUUUUAGUUUUUUUGGUCGAACAGGUAUAUUGAUUAAUCAGUCAAUUAAUCCUCGUAUCUCCAUUUCUAUUAGGAAAAAAUGACAAAUAAUUCUUAAUGCAAUUCCUAAACUUUUAAUUUAUUAAAUGUGAUCCUUAAACUUUAAUCUAAUUGAAAAUGUGAUCCAUAAAUUUUUAAUUCAUUUAAUAUGGUUCCUAAACUUUUGAUACAUGUUUAGUAUAUAGUUUUUGAAUUAUAUAAAAAUAUUCAAUUUGAUCUUUCAACUUUUGAAACAUGUUUAAUUUAGUUUCCGAACUAUAUGACAACAUUUAAUGUUGUCCUUGAACCUCAAUCAAUGGAAAGACAAUAUUGAAUAUUUCAUGCAAUUUAAGGACUAAGUUGAACAUGCAUAAAGAAUUUAAGAAUCACAUUGUAUAAAUUAAAAGUUCAUGUAUCACAUUACACAUUGAGCUAAAAUUCAAAGCCACAUUAAAAAAAUUAAAAAUUUAAAAGGCCACAAUGCAGAUUAGGUAAAAUUUUAGGGACUAUUUGUUUUAUUAUCCCUUCCUAUUACUUGCACGGAUUGUUUCAUAAUCAUGGGAUCCCAACAAAAUCUAUUUUAAAGUUGUGCAUGAUAACAUUUUUAUUCCUAUGUUCUUUUGUUCUUUUGUCCAUCGGAAUAAAAAAAAAAAAGAACAAAAAUUUGUUUGAAAACAUCAAUUAACUUUUUUAUUCUCUAAAAUAGAAAAGUGGUCAAAAAUUAGAUUUAUAACAAAAAAAAAGUAGAAAAAAAAACAACUUAUUCCCAUAAGCAAAUUUUAUAAAUAAGUUAUUUUUUUCUUGUCUUUUUCUUCCAUGCCACCUACUGCCACCCCCUUGCCAUUGCCAGCAAAAUUGGCCUAUGGCGGCGAGCGGCAGGCGACAACAGAAGAAGAAGAGAGGAAAAAAGAAAAAAAAAAGAAAAUUCUCAAAAAAAUUAUUAAAAAUUUAAAGAAAUGUUAUGUUACAAAAAAAGAAAAAAACUUGUGGGUCAUACCAAACACAUUCAUUUUUUUUUUUUCCUAUUUCGAGGAUAGAAAUUUUUAGCAAUUACCAAACGUAUUGUUUUACUCAGAAACUAUUAUAGAGAGUAAAAAUAGAAAAUAGCUAUUACUAAAAAGAAAUUAUUCCUAAGAACAUAAAUGUUACCAACACGCCAUAAGCAAUUUUAUCAUAUCUCGAAUCGCACUAACAACUUUUCAUAAUCAAAACUAGGUAAGCUUUUGUUCUGUUAUAAGCAAUUGGGUUUUCAAUUUUUUUUCUUUCCUUUUUCUUUUUGUUACCCCCAGAGCCUCUUGAGUCUUUACCGACCUAAUCUAGUCAAUUGUCCUCAGUGCUGAUGUGGCACGAUGACAAGAUGAGGAAAUGCUCCAUGGAAACCAAUACAUAGAACCACAUCAGUAAAGUCCCGAGAAUAAAGAAUUUCAAGGAUCGAGAUGCUUGUAGCCGAUGCGAUCUAUUAGGGGUACAUAUCGAGAUGAAUUCGUACCUCGCGAGUAAAAACUGGAGAAUCCCUAUCCUUAUCGAUAUGAAUAUGUACCUCCCGUGUAAAAACUAGAGAAUCUCUAUCCUUUUGCUUCCUUCAGUCACAGAAGCGGGUGGAUACUUUUUGGACGAGCGAGGCUGGGAUUGUGGAUACUUUCUUUUUCAUUGGUCCAGGGCCUAAGGAUGUCGUGAAGCAAUACGUUAGUGUGACUGGUAGUGUGACUGGUAGCCCUGCGAUGACUCAGCUCUUCGCCACAGCUUAUCACCAGUGUAGAUGGGAACUACAGGGAUGAGGAGGAUGUUGAGAACGUGGAUGCCAAAUUCGACGAGCAUGACAUCCCUUACGACGUUCUUUGGCUCGAUAUUGAGCACACGGACGGCAAGAAGUACUUUACCUGGGAUAAGGUGCUUUUCCCUCAUCCCGAGGAGAUGCAACGGAAGCUAGCUGCAAAGGGUAGGCACAUGGUGACAAUUGGGCCGUAAUUGGGCCUGAGGCCCAAUUGACGGGCUCAGUAUUGAUUAAUGGGCUUUUGGCGGGGUGGGCCCAGUUCUUGGAAAAUGCGAAGAGAUCGGGGGAAGGUGAGGUCUCGUUCCCGCUCCCUGCCUACCGGAUUUGGACGACUUACCAGAAUCAAGAACCGGAAGAGUUGAUCUCAUCCUUUGUCUUCAUCCUCUUCAAUUUCAAAUCAAGUUCGGUUUUUUAUUUUUACCCUUCUCUGUUCUCAUGGCAAACUCGCUGGCUUCAUUUUUGCAUGGACGCUCCCGAGGAGGAACAUGACCGCGGCAGCGGCGGCGAUUCUGCUGCCCGUCCGCACCAGGUUUUCAUUUUGAUCACUCGUUGGGUUGGUUUUUCUUGGGGUUUAGUCGGUCCGGACGUGACCCUUCUCAAGCUUCGCUGUCUUUCUUGAAUGGCCUUUUGCUGUCUGCAGGAAUUAUCCGCUGUCGUUGGUUACUUCAGUAAUCUUUAUCCUCUUGAUACCAUAGAGUCUUGCGUACAAGCCGGUGAUCCUGACCAGCCGUUGGGUUCGUUACUGGCAGAACAGGCUAAGGAAGAGCAUCCUUCUGGUCGACAGAAUGCGGUUCAGAGAUUUGAUGUCCCUCCUGACGUGUUCCAAGAUUGGCAGCUGGGAAGAUUUUUUGACGACCAGGUAUCCGCGGUUUCUUGUAGUAUUGUUUCGCGACGGCUGGGAAAUAGAACUGAUAGGAUUGAUGUUGUUGACUGAUUAUUUCGUAUAUAAUUCUUGAUCAGUAUUGAAAUCCAGAUUUUAGAAUUAAAAAAAGAUUACCUCUGAUAAUUAUGACUCAGUUUCACGUGCUCAGAUAAUCUAUAUUAUCAAUGCAGGAAGCGCAUCCUCACUGCCGUGAUACUCCCCAGCAUCUCAACUUCGAUGAUGUAAUGCCCCGCCACCGUUCCACUCCUUGGAGCCACGUUUCCUGCGCAUGCCACAAUCAUGCGGGUUGUAGUUCGGGCAUGCCUCCUGCUAGCAUGCAGAACUGGGGCCAUUUGCUUUUGAGCAAUGGCGGACCGGAAGAAUCCAGUAGCUGGCAACAAUUCAGCGGUCAGUCAAGUGGUUACGAUUUAAAGACUAAAUGCCCAACCUGUCUCUAUGACUCGCCGCACGUCCUGUUUUCUUCGUAGCCCUUACAUAUCAAUUUCCAUGGAUUCAGAUGUAAGCGAGAUGUCAUCCCAGUGCCUAAUUGAUAAGGAGAAGCUGAUUCAGAUGCUGGAGGACUUGGACAGUAGCUUUGUUUCCAGCAAUCCAACCUGGGAAUUCUCCGAUCCUGUUGCCGGUGGUCAAAAUGGAGAUGGAGUGACUAUCACUGCGAAAAAUUGGACCAGCGAAACCGCUUCCAAAGUACAAGAUCAAAAGAAGGCUGCAGAACCAAGCUCGGGCACUCCUGGAAGGAGGGGGAGGCGAGUACACAUAUGACAUAUUUGUUUGUGCACUAUAUCAACACAUUUACUAGUGGCUAAACUAGUUUUAUUUUUGGCUUGAUUUAGGAAGAAAGCAGAAAAUGCCACAGAGAAUGGAAGCACGAAAAGAUGCAGUUGCAGGAGAUCCAAAUGCUUGCAACUGUAAGCAGUAGUGCGGUUCACAGGGUUCUCAUACUUCUUGUUCUGUCCAGUUUUCACGCAUCGAAAGUUUUGAUUUGGGAGUGCCAAGCGAUGCUAGUUUCUGUGUUAUGCAGUUCCCGUAUAUCGGGGCAGCCUGUCUACUUAGAUAUGGAUAGCUAAUCCACUGUUUUUUGUUUAUGUCCUUGAUCGGAACAGCAAGCAGGUUCCAAUAGAUUACCGUGCUUGACUGAAAGUUCUCCUAUCGUUUUUCCUGGUCGAAAGAUAGAAGAGGCAUUGUAUUGUUUGAAAUAAUGCUGAAACUUUCGUGUCCGCAGAUAUUGCGAAUGCUUUGCAGCGGAACUUUUCUGUACCGACAGUUGUGCAUGUAGACUCUGCUACAACAACCUUGAAAUGGAGGACUCAGUUUUCAAGGCAAAGGACCGGAUUAAAUGAGGUGAUCCUCUUGCAUUCGGUCCGAAGGUAGUUCCGCAUCCCAACGAUUUGCCUCCGGAUAAAGUGGUAACCAUCCUUCCAUCCGGGAAGUCUUAUCUCAUUCUUAGUUAAUGAGUAUGAAGGGAAAUCUGAAUUUGAGCGGCAAUGCAACAGGAAAGUGGUGGUCGUGGUAGUGGUGAGAAUGAGGACACCCCAUUAUUCGUGAGGCACAAACGCGGAUGUAAUUGCAAGAAGUCUCAGUGCCUGAAAAAUUACUGCGAAUGCUACCAGGUUUGCAGCUAAUUCAAUCUAUUGACACAAAGAUUCGAGAGCUAAUUUGUACAUUGUAACACUUGGAUUUAGCCGUUUUAGAUGAUUUGGUAUAAUGGUCAGAAGAAACUGUCACGCCAGUCAGUAAACCUGUUUAGCAACGUCGCUUAUUUUAAUUGGAUUCGUAACAUCACAACAGGAAGACGAACUCUUAAGAUUGUUGAUUUCUGAACUGGCGCAUCCUAUGGAUUUUCCAGUUGUUCUAUAACAAUCUUACUAGAACGCUCUAUUUUUCCUGCUGCCAGGGCAAAGCUGGAUGUUUCCAUGAAUGCAACUGCGAAGAUUGCUCUAACCCUUUUGGCCCAAAAUCAGGUAAGCGGCACACUUGUGGCUGCUAUUCCGAUACAUCUUUGUAUAGAUUGUUAACAUUCUCGCCAUGAACACAAACCGGAAGCAAUAUUUUGCUCCUCCUGAUGCAAAUCAAGCAUCCUUUGAUCAAGCACAUUCUGAUUUUCUUCCCGUUACAACACUCCGCUUUGGCGUCAUAAGAUGAUUACCAAUUGCCACAUCGAUGCUUCUGCAAAAUGAAAGAAAUAAAAGCAUCAAGAGAUUGCAUUCUUCUAGAUAUAUUCUGCUUGAAUUCUGUUUCGAUUCUAUCACAUUAAGAAUGUCUAAUUCUUAUCCAUGCGUGUUAUACUCCCUGGGACAUGAACUCCAAAGCAGCAGAGCAAGGGAUUGACAGGAAGGAAAUGUCGCCUAACGGAACGCCGGAUGGUAUGCAGGGCAUGCCCAACUCCAUCCGAACUGGGAUCGGAGGUGGGUCUGCUUCGACUUUGGAAGGAACAGUCAACAUGCUCAACAACACUCCAUCUCCGGGUCCUUCGGCAUCUUCCAAGAGAUACAAUAGCAUGAGUACUUCUUCGCUGUCCAACCCGGCGAAUGCUAGCUCGCCCGACCAGAGACAAGCAUCAACUCCGCAGCUUCGGUCUCCUGGACGGAGUCCAAGCAUCUCCCCAAGCUCGAGACCUGCCCGCAAAGCAGACUCGUGGACUCCUCCUUCCCCAGAUGGCGAGCCCGGAGGCGGUUCAAGUCGAGCGUAAAUCAGUAACCGAGGGAACCGGCAUCGAUCCAGAGGAGCACGAUCUGAGAUGAUGCUCGUAGAGCAACGAAAUCUUGACUUAGCUUUUAGUGCUUUUGCAGUUUUAGAGAUCAAGACUUUUUCAUCACUUACCAAGAUGAUAUGGUCCGUAGGUUUUUUAGGAGCUUGCAUUGGUCUGCGGUCAGCUAAUUAUCUUUCUCAAUCCUAGUGCCAAUGUUUUUCAUAGGCGAAGUUAUCAAAUCAGAAAUUGAA